This is a long non-coding RNA of Sinocyclocheilus rhinocerous, 227 nucleotides long. RefSeq lists it as uncharacterized. The transcript is spliced from 3 exons. Lineage: Eukaryota; Metazoa; Chordata; Actinopteri; Cypriniformes; Cyprinidae. The record is from RefSeq and is a predicted model, not a curated record.
AGCUGUGGUGGAUUUCUGCUCUGAUCUUCAUUGUUCUUCUGGUUGUGGUCUGUUUCAUUCUGCGUAAAAGGAACUUCAGGUGUUUUUUGAAGGCAGUGCCGUCUGUCUGUCAGCGUGAGGAUGAUCCAGAAAACAGGAGAGUGAAUCAGACUGACAGACAGAAAGAGUUGAAGGAUCCAGAAUCUGGUGCCCAAAUGCAGCUCAGAUCGGAUGAAUCUGAUUCACUG